RNAcentral lists this unclassified non-coding RNA (264 nucleotides) under uncultured fungus. RNAcentral describes it as "sequence contains ITS2". The stretch from base 1 to 52 matches the Rfam family "5.8S ribosomal RNA", at positions 103 to 154 of the family's 154-position model. Lineage: Eukaryota; Fungi. The record is from RNAcentral.
AACGCACAUUGCGCCCGCCAGUACUCUGGCGGGCAUGCCUGUCCGAGCGUCAUUUCAACCCUCGAGCCCCCCCGGGGGGUCGGCGUUGGGGAUCGGCCCUUCACCGGGCCGGCCCCGAAAUGCAGUGGCGGUCUCGCCGCGGCCUCCCCUGCGCAGUAGCUUGCACACUCGCACCGGGAGCGCGGCGCGCCCACAGCCGUGAAAACACCCCCAAGCCUCUGGCAUGUUGACCUCGGAUCAGGUAGGAAUACCCGCUGAACUUAA